RNAcentral lists this ribosomal RNA (1421 nucleotides) under Lacticaseibacillus rhamnosus. RNAcentral describes it as "bacterial SSU rRNA". It matches the Rfam family "Bacterial small subunit ribosomal RNA". Lineage: Bacteria; Bacillati; Bacillota; Bacilli; Lactobacillales; Lactobacillaceae. The record is from RNAcentral.
GUCGAACGAGUUCUGAUUAUUGAAAGGUGCUUGCAUCUUGAUUUAAUUUUGAACGAGUGGCGGACGGGUGAGUAACACGUGGGUAACCUGCCCUUAAGUGGGGGAUAACAUUUGGAAACAGAUGCUAAUACCGCAUAAAUCCAAGAACCGCAUGGUUCUUGGCUGAAAGAUGGCGUAAGCUAUCGCUUUUGGAUGGACCCGCGGCGUAUUAGCUAGUUGGUGAGGUAACGGCUCACCAAGGCAAUGAUACGUAGCCGAACUGAGAGGUUGAUCGGCCACAUUGGGACUGAGACACGGCCCAAACUCCUACGGGAGGCAGCAGUAGGGAAUCUUCCACAAUGGACGCAAGUCUGAUGGAGCAACGCCGCGUGAGUGAAGAAGGCUUUCGGGUCGUAAAACUCUGUUGUUGGAGAAGAAUGGUCGGCAGAGUAACUGUUGUCGGCGUGACGGUAUCCAACCAGAAAGCCACGGCUAACUACGUGCCAGCAGCCGCGGUAAUACGUAGGUGGCAAGCGUUAUCCGGAUUUAUUGGGCGUAAAGCGAGCGCAGGCGGUUUUUUAAGUCUGAUGUGAAAGCCCUCGGCUUAACCGAGGAAGUGCAUCGGAAACUGGGAAACUUGAGUGCAGAAGAGGACAGUGGAACUCCAUGUGUAGCGGUGAAAUGCGUAGAUAUAUGGAAGAACACCAGUGGCGAAGGCGGCUGUCUGGUCUGUAACUGACGCUGAGGCUCGAAAGCAUGGGUAGCGAACAGGAUUAGAUACCCUGGUAGUCCAUGCCGUAAACGAUGAAUGCUAGGUGUUGGAGGGUUUCCGCCCUUCAGUGCCGCAGCUAACGCAUUAAGCAUUCCGCCUGGGGAGUACGACCGCAAGGUUGAAACUCAAAGGAAUUGACGGGGGCCCGCACAAGCGGUGGAGCAUGUGGUUUAAUUCGAAGCAACGCGAAGAACCUUACCAGGUCUUGACAUCUUUUGAUCACCUGAGAGAUCAGGUUUCCCCUUCGGGGGCAAAAUGACAGGUGGUGCAUGGUUGUCGUCAGCUCGUGUCGUGAGAUGUUGGGUUAAGUCCCGCAACGAGCGCAACCCUUAUGACUAGUUGCCAGCAUUUAGUUGGGCACUCUAGUAAGACUGCCGGUGACAAACCGGAGGAAGGUGGGGAUGACGUCAAAUCAUCAUGCCCCUUAUGACCUGGGCUACACACGUGCUACAAUGGAUGGUACAACGAGUUGCGAGACCGCGAGGUCAAGCUAAUCUCUUAAAGCCAUUCUCAGUUCGGACUGUAGGCUGCAACUCGCCUACACGAAGUCGGAAUCGCUAGUAAUCGCGGAUCAGCACGCCGCGGUGAAUACGUUCCCGGGCCUUGUACACACCGCCCGUCACACCAUGAGAGUUUGUAACACCCGAAGCCGGUGGCGUAACCCUUUUAG